AACGAACGCUGGCGGCAUGCCUAACACAUGCAAGUCGAACGAGCCCUUCGGGUCUUGUGUCGCACGGGUGCGUAACGCGUGGGAACCUGCCCUUAGGUUCGGACUAACUCCCCGACUGGGGUGCUAAUACCGGAUAAUGUCUUCGGCCCAAAGAUUUAUUGCCUUUGGAUGGGCCCGCGUUGGAUUAGCUAGUUGGUAGGGUAAUAGCCUACCAAGGCGACGAUCCAUAGCUGGUCUGAGAGGAUGAUCAGCCACACUGGGACUGAGACACGGCCCAGACUCCUACGGGAGGCAGCAGUGGGGAAUAUUGGACAAUGGGCGAAAGCCUGAUCCAGCAAUGACGCGUGAGUGAUGAAGGCCUUAGGGUUGUAAAGCGCUUUUAACCGGGAUGAUAAUGACAGUACCGGGAGAAUAAGCUCCGGCUAACUCCGUG
Molecule: ribosomal RNA, 433 nt
Filed under: uncultured bacterium
Lineage: Bacteria
Description: partial 16S ribosomal RNA
Rfam family: Bacterial small subunit ribosomal RNA
Source: RNAcentral